UCUGGCUCAGGAUGAACGCUAGCUACAGGCUUAACACAUGCAAGUCGAGGGGCAGCGGGAUUGAAGCUUGCUUCAAUUGCCGGCGACCGGCGCACGGGUGAGUAACGCGUAUCCAACCUUCCGUACACUCAGGGAUAGCCUUUCGAAAGAAAGAUUAAUACCUGAUGGUAUGAUGAGAUUGCAUGAUAGCAUCAUUAAAGAUUUAUCGGUGUACGAUGGGGAUGCGUUCCAUUAGGUAGUAGGCGGGGUAACGGCCCACCUAGCCGACGAUGGAUAGGGGUUCUGAGAGGAAGGUCCCCCACAUUGGAACUGAGACACGGUCCAAACUCCUACGGGAGGCGGCAGUGAGGAAUAUUGGUCAAUGGACGAGAGUCUGAACCAGCCAAGUAGCGUGAAGGAUGAAGGUCCUACGGAUUGUAAACUUCUUUUAUAAGGGAAUAAACCCUUCCACGUGUGGGAGCUUGUAUGUACCUUAUGAAUAAGCAUCGGCUAACUCCGUGCCAGCAGCCGCGGUAAUACGGAGGAUGCGAGCGUUAUCCGGAUUUAUUGGGUUUAAAGGGAGCGCAGACGGGUCGUUAAGUCAGCUGUGAAAGUUUGGGGCUCAACCUUAAAAUUGCAGUUGAUACUGGCGUCCUUGAGUGCGGUUGAGGUGUGCGGAAUUCGUGGUGUAGCGGUGAAAUGCUUAGAUAUCACGAAGAACUCCGAUUGCGAAGGCAGCACACUAAGCCGUAACUGACGUUCAUGCUCGAAAGUGUGGGUAUCAAACAGGAUUAGAUACCCUGGUAGUCCACACGGUAAACGAUGGAUACUCGCUGUUGGCGAUAUACUGUCAGCGGCUUAGCGAAAGCGUUAAGUAUCCCACCUGGGGAGUACGCCGGCAACGGUGCAACUCAAAUGAAUUGACGG
RNAcentral lists this ribosomal RNA (906 nucleotides) under uncultured Bacteroidota bacterium. Its description in RNAcentral is "bacterial SSU rRNA". It matches the Rfam family "Bacterial small subunit ribosomal RNA", at positions 18 to 916 of the family's 1533-position model. Lineage: Bacteria; Pseudomonadati; Bacteroidota. The record is from RNAcentral.